RNAcentral lists this transfer RNA (72 nucleotides) under Danio rerio (zebrafish). Its description in RNAcentral is "tRNA-Pro (TGG) (tRNA-Pro-TGG-40-1)". It matches the Rfam family "tRNA". Rfam says of the family: Transfer RNA (tRNA) molecules are approximately 80 nucleotides in length. Their secondary structure includes four short double-helical elements and three loops (D, anti-codon, and T loops). Lineage: Eukaryota; Metazoa; Chordata; Actinopteri; Cypriniformes; Danionidae. The record is from Rfam by way of RNAcentral.
GGCUCGUUGGUCUAGGGGUAUGAUUCUCGCUUUGGGUGUGAGAGGUCCCGAGUUCAAAUCCCAGACGAGCCC